This 655-nucleotide small RNA is filed under the name Pongo abelii (Sumatran orangutan). RNAcentral describes it as "retained intron". The record is from RNAcentral. Lineage: Eukaryota; Metazoa; Chordata; Mammalia; Primates; Hominidae.
AGGGGGUGGAUUCUAGAAAGAUUCAGCAGGCAGAAUAGGCAGGGCUCAAUGACUGGCUGCAGGGUGGGAUAAGGAGGAAUUGAUUUCAAGUGAGUCCUUGCAGAGCUGGGGCUCCAGGACUGUCCCCAUGGAGUCUCACUCCCCUCCCCCUCUUCCAAACAGGCCGGGCUGUCACCUAUUCCCGAAGCCGUUACCUCGAAUGCAUUUCCUGUGGCUCAUCAGACAUGAGCUGUGAGAGGGGCCGGCACCAGAGCCUGCAGUGCCGCAGCCCUGAAGAACAGUGCCUGGAUGUGGUGACCCACUGGAUCCGGGAAGGUGAAGAAGUCCUAGAGCUCGAAAAUCUGCCACAGAAUGGCCGCCAGUGUUACAGCUGCAAGGGGAACAGCACCCAUGGAUGCUCCUCUGAAGAGACUUUCCUCAUUGACUGCCGAGGCCCCAUGAAUCAAUGUCUGGUAGCCACUGGCACUCACGGUGAGGCCCUCUCCGAGGCUGGGAGGGAACACUUAUUGGGGGUGGAGAGUUCCGCAAGAGAUUGACUUCCAGUUAAGCUGGACUUAACCGUGGUGGGUCUCCCUGUGGAAAAGGUGGGAUUUCCUUCAGGUGAGUGAAUAUUGUUGUAAGGAACUAGGACUUGUCCAUCAGGAUGUGGACAUUU